AAAUGAAAACUAGUGUUGACAACAAUUAUGAAAAUGAUAAGUUCAAGAGAGAUGUAAACUCAAAGAUGGAUAUGUUGGUUGUUGACAUGAAGCUUAUAAAAUACUUUGUAUUUGCUUGUAUUGUGAUUCAACUUUUGUAUAUGGUUGUUCACAAGUAGUGUUGUUGAUUAGUGAUUGAAAUUAGUGAGUGUAAUAUUGUUGAUUAGUGAGUGUAAUGUUAUUGAUUAGUGAAUGUGAUGUAUUUUAGCUUUAACC
Molecule: long non-coding RNA, 255 nt
Filed under: Trifolium pratense (red clover)
Lineage: Eukaryota; Viridiplantae; Streptophyta; Magnoliopsida; Fabales; Fabaceae
Description: long non-coding RNA (TPRA_LNC008895)
Source: RNAcentral